Molecule: non-coding RNA, 65 nt
Filed under: Citrobacter cronae
Lineage: Bacteria; Pseudomonadati; Pseudomonadota; Gammaproteobacteria; Enterobacterales; Enterobacteriaceae
Source: RNAcentral
GAAAGCACGACAUUGCUCACAUUGCUUCCAGUAUUAUUUUAGCCAGCUUUUGCUGGCUUUUUUUU